UUAAACGGCCGCGGGAUCCUCCACCGUGCAAAGGUAGCAUAAUCACUUGUCCCCUAAAUAGUGACUAGUAUGAAUGGCCAAAUGAAGAUCUUACUGUCUCUUGUAGCCAAUCUAUGAAACUAAUCUAUCAGUACAAAAACUGGUAUUUUUUCAUAAGACGAAAAGACCCUGUGGAACUUUAAGCACAAAUCACCUAAUGAUAUACUGCUUUUAGUUGGGGCAACUUUGGAAAUAAACAAAACUUCCAAUCUUAAACCAAGAUAAACAUAUCUACACACCACACGACCCAGCACACGCUGAUCAAAGAACCAAGCUACCCCAGGGAUAACAGCGCCAUCCCCUCCUAGAGCCCAAAUCGACGAGUGGGGUUUACGACCUCGAUGUUGGAUCAGGGCCCCCAAACAGUGCAACAGCUGUUAACGGUUUGUUUGUUCAACAAUUAAAGCCCU
RNAcentral lists this ribosomal RNA (449 nucleotides) under Wilsonosaura josyi. Its description in RNAcentral is "partial 16S ribosomal RNA". It matches the Rfam family "Bacterial large subunit ribosomal RNA", at positions 1923 to 2597 of the family's 2925-position model. The record is from RNAcentral. Lineage: Eukaryota; Metazoa; Chordata; Lepidosauria; Squamata; Gymnophthalmidae.